AAUGAGUGACCCACACUGCAACAUCGUUUUCCCAAUAAUGUUAAUUUGUGUUAUAAAUAUGACUUCUUAGAGAGUGAUAUACACACACUUCCAUGGCGAUCCUGGGUGCCUCCAAAUUCAUCUCAUUUUUAGCAUUACUUUUACUACUCAUCAACUCUGCUAUGGGAGCUGCUGCUGCCCAACCUACCCUUAAACAUGGACGUAAACUUCUCCAAACUUAUGAUCCUGGAAAUUGGAAUUGGAGGAAACCACAGUAUUAUCGUGAUCGUGGUCAAGGAUAUAGGAAAGCAAGAUAUCAUCAUGGUCGUGGAAAAUAUACCCAAAAACCAUGAAAUCAAGUUAUUAAAUGUGUCAGUGCCAGAAUAUUAUUAGUAUAUAAGUCAUGUACUCAAUUUCUAUUAAUGGUGUGUAUACUAUACUACUGCAGUCAGCCACACCUGGUGAGUGGCUAGACCUGUAUUUUAACCUAGAGAAUUAAAUAAUUCAGUAUUUUUUUAUGGUAUAGAAAUAGCAUGUUUCCAAUAAUAUUUUAUGCGGCUUCCUCAA
Vigna angularis (adzuki bean) is the source of this 546-nucleotide long non-coding RNA. RefSeq lists it as uncharacterized. The transcript is spliced from 2 exons. Lineage: Eukaryota; Viridiplantae; Streptophyta; Magnoliopsida; Fabales; Fabaceae. The record is from RefSeq and is a predicted model, not a curated record.